Molecule: unclassified non-coding RNA, 257 nt
Filed under: Glomeraceae sp.
Lineage: Eukaryota; Fungi; Glomeromycota; Glomeromycetes; Glomerales; Glomeraceae
Description: partial contains 5.8S ribosomal RNA and internal transcribed spacer 2
Rfam family: 5.8S ribosomal RNA (bases 1-65)
Source: RNAcentral
GUGAAUCAUCAAAUUUUUGAACGCAAAUUGCACUCUCCUCGGAGGGUAUGCCUGUUUGAGGGUCAGCCCAUAAAAAAUCGACAUCGUUGCUGUUUCGCGGUGGCGUUCGUCGGAAAUUGGGUCAUCUUAAAUCUUUUGGUUUUAAGCGACUUAAAAUUUUCUUUUUGAUUCCAUGAACGUUUCUAAGAUUUAUUUCUUUACACGUUUAAGGUAUCGAUUUUUUUUAGCCGUGCUUAUAAUAUCGAAUCGCCCCCAAA